Acinonyx jubatus (cheetah) is the source of this 677-nucleotide long non-coding RNA. RefSeq lists it as uncharacterized. The record is from RefSeq and is a predicted model, not a curated record. The transcript has 3 exons. NCBI's taxonomy places the organism in Eukaryota, Metazoa, Chordata, Mammalia, Carnivora, Felidae.
GGGCUCUCAAUCCAUUAACUCAGGAUUCUUUUUUUUUUUAAUUUGGGGUGUGGGAGUCAGGGAGAGGUGUAAUUUAUAGAAAUUUGGCCUGGGAAUCAUGAGUUUCUUCUUUCUAAUUCUGCAGAACCCACCUUAUCUGAAGGGAAGCACAUGACCCAAUGUCAGACUGCCUGGCUCAACCACAUACUGGUGAAGGCUUUGGCCACUGCUCUGGAGAUCUUACUCAGUUUUCCUGGCUUGGACUCCCCCAUAUAUACAGGAGGCAAUGGCAAAGUUGAUGGUUGUUUUUCUGAAAUAACCAGAAAGACCAACGGAACAUGAGAAAUGGAACAGGCAGAAGACUGAACCCUUUAGAUGAUAUAACACGUGGAAAUGCUAGCAAAGGUUUCAGUUAUGAAUACAGAAACCAUACCAAAUAGAAUAAAAAGCACAGCAUACUUCUGUAUCCCUAAAAUUGCUUGCAUUGUUCCUGUUUUAACAUGGAGUACAAAGUACAAGAAGGCAUCAAGUGAAGGAUAUAUCUUUCUAAUGUGAAAUUAAAAUCAAAGUAAACCUGUUAUUACUGAUCAUACCUGUCAGUCAGAUUGGAUUUUCUUUUUUAAUUUCUGGUUUGAGGCUGAUACAUGAAGAUAAAUGGCACUUAAAGUUUGUUCAGUGGUGUGGGUUCCUUAGAGUGA